Molecule: ribosomal RNA, 490 nt
Filed under: uncultured bacterium
Lineage: Bacteria
Description: bacterial SSU rRNA
Rfam family: Bacterial small subunit ribosomal RNA
Source: RNAcentral
GAUCAUGGCUCAGAUUGAACGCUGGCGGCAUGCCUUACACAUGCAAGUCGAACGGCAGCACGGGAGCAAUCCUGGUGGCGAGUGGCGAACGGGUGAGUAAUAUAUCGGAACGUGCCCAGUAGUGGGGGAUAACUGCUCGAAAGAGCAGCUAAUACCGCAUACGACCUGAGGGUGAAAGGGGGGGAUCGCAAGACCUCUCGCUAUUGGAGCGGCCUAUCAGCCUGUUGGUGAGGUAAUGGCUCACCAAGGCGACGACGGGUAGCCGGCCUGAGAGGGCGACCGGCCACACUGGGACUGAGACACGGCCCAGACUCCUACGGGAGGCAGCAGUGGGGAAUUUUGGACAAUGGGCGCAAGCCUGAUCCAGCAAUGCCGCGUGCAGGAUGAAGGCCUUCGGGUUGUAAACUGCUUUUGUACGGAGCGAAAAGGCUCUCUCUAAUGCAGAGGGCUCAUGACGGUACCGUAAGAAUAAGCACCGGCUAACUACGUG